RNAcentral lists this ribosomal RNA (497 nucleotides) under uncultured bacterium. RNAcentral's name for it is "partial 16S ribosomal RNA". It matches the Rfam family "Bacterial small subunit ribosomal RNA", at positions 28 to 507 of the family's 1533-position model. The record is from RNAcentral.
GAUGAACGCUGGCGGCGUGCCUAAUACAUGCAAGUCGAGCGAACGGACGAGAAGCUUGCUUCUCUGAUGUUAGCGGCGGACGGGUAAGUAACACGUGGAUAACCUACCUAUAAGACUGGGAUAACUUCGGGAAACCGGAGCUAAUACCGGAUAAUAUUUUGAACCGCAUGGUUCAAAAGUGAAAGACGGUCUUGCUGUCACUUAUAGAUGGAUCCGCGCUGCAUUAGCUAGUUGGUAAGGUAACGGCUUACCAAGGCAACGAUGCAUAGCCGACCUGAGAGGGUGAUCGGCCACACUGGAACUGAGACACGGUCCAGACUCCUACGGGAGGCAGCAGUAGGGAAUCUUCUGCAAUGGGCGAAAGCCUGACGGAGCAACGCCGCGUGAGUGAUGAAGGUCUUCGGAUCGUAAAACUCUGUUAUUAGGGAAGAACAUAUGUGUAAGUAACUGUGCACAUCUUGACGGUACCUAAUCAGAAAGCCACGGCUAACUACGUG